RNAcentral lists this unclassified non-coding RNA (339 nucleotides) under Hevea brasiliensis (rubber tree). Lineage: Eukaryota; Viridiplantae; Streptophyta; Magnoliopsida; Malpighiales; Euphorbiaceae. The record is from RNAcentral.
GUUUAUGACUGAUUUUGUGGACCAAAUGACAUCCAGGAAGGCCAAAGAACAAAUUAUAAAGUUUUCGAUGCAUCAAUGAAGGGGGCGAAGAAAAAGUUUAUUUCUUUCGCNAGAAACAUAAGUGAAAAUGUAGAAAUGUUAUGUGCCGGUGUUUGGUUUCAAUGAUAGAAACGAAACCCAUAAAGGCCAAAUGGAAAAUAUCUAUAUGGAACGAACCUAUGCUUUCUUUAGCUGAAAAUUAUAAACGUUAACCGAUCCCAAUCCAAUGAAUUAACGAUCCAGUAAAAGCGAAAGAAACCAAACUUCCAAAUCAAAUUUUCAAUAUGGAAAUGGUCAAAA